Ovis aries (sheep) is the source of this 72-nucleotide transfer RNA. It matches the Rfam family "tRNA". From Rfam's summary of the family: Transfer RNA (tRNA) molecules are approximately 80 nucleotides in length. Their secondary structure includes four short double-helical elements and three loops (D, anti-codon, and T loops). Further hydrogen bonds mediate the characteristic L-shaped molecular structure. tRNAs have two regions of fundamental functional importance: the anti-codon, which is responsible for specific mRNA codon recognition, and the 3' end, to which the tRNAs corresponding amino acid is attached (by aminoacyl-tRNA synthetases). tRNAs cope with the degeneracy of the genetic code in two manners: having more than one tRNA (with a specific anti-codon) for a particular amino acid; and 'wobble' base-pairing, i.e. permitting non-standard base-pairing at the 3rd anti-codon position. NCBI's taxonomy places the organism in Eukaryota, Metazoa, Chordata, Mammalia, Artiodactyla, Bovidae. The record is from Rfam.
UCCCUGAUGGCUUAGACGGUAAAGAGUCUGCCUGCAGUGCAGGAGACCUGGGUUCAAUCCCUGGGUUGGGAA